RNAcentral lists this transfer RNA (83 nucleotides) under Ascoidea rubescens DSM 1968. It matches the Rfam family "tRNA". From Rfam's summary of the family: Transfer RNA (tRNA) molecules are approximately 80 nucleotides in length. Their secondary structure includes four short double-helical elements and three loops (D, anti-codon, and T loops). The record is from Rfam by way of RNAcentral. Lineage: Eukaryota; Fungi; Ascomycota; Saccharomycetes; Ascoideales; Ascoideaceae.
GCCUGGCUAGCUCAAUCGGUAGAGCAUUUGACUCUUAGGUUUAGGUAAUCAAAAGGUUGCGGGUUCGAGCCCCGCGUCGGGCU